GCUUUUGUCCGCAAGCUGCAGCCACACAGGCAGACCUUUGAAGCUUGCUCCGUGGAGGGGCAGAGCUCAUUCCCAGGUUGACCCUCAAACGUUACGUCAUGUCCACAGGACGAUGUGGCCCAUGAAGAGCCCUUUGGAACUGAGAAACAAACUGUGUGCCCAUAUGUGAAACCACCAAGACCUCCAACACACUUGGCUUUAGAGGCCCCAGGACAUGAAGAGAUAGAUCAGUCGGGGAAAGCGAGGGCGUGCCUUAGGAUCAUGUCUGUAAAACGGUGUGAGGAGAACUCUUGGGUCCCACUCCAUGAUUCCACAAGGACACAGCAGAGGGGAUCCACAGACUAACUACCUGGCAAAUGUCACGGCAGAGGUAACGUUCCAUGACCCCAGAAUGAGGACUUCCUUAGACCAGUCUCUAAUCCUACACCUCCUCUCUGCAUGUGAUCACCUUCAUCGCUAAGAUGGCUCACCAGUUCACUACGGCUGACACGGACUUUAAAUUCAUACCAGUGUAAGCCCCAACCAACUCCCUCUUUGAAGAAACACCAUUUGGUGCAAGGCCAGGGUCUAAACUCCAAUUCUAGGAAGAAGAACGCCAAGUCCACUAGAAUAAACAUCCCAAUAGCAGGGUCAAGAUACAUAAAGAUAACCUAAGACAUUCCGCAGAGAAUAGAUAACUUAGCCAUCCUGUUUGUCAGGUGGGUUUGCCCCCAUGUUCGGUUUCUGUAAAUUAUUCCAGAAAUGCAGUCUUUAAAAUAUUAACUUGCUGACCCAUAUGGAAAUUGCCCCACACUCGCUGUAACCACAAUAAAAACCCUGCACACCUAGACUCGGGGCUCUCAUUCUGACCCACUGUGACCCGGAUGGGUAAGAGACCUCGCUAGUGAGCUCCAGCUCAGAGGAAAGAUGUGUUUGCAUCGGAAUUGACUCCUCAGUGGUCUUUGGGUUCCUGUGAUUUGGGCAUGACACCGGGAACAUAGCUCAGUUUGUAGAUCGCUUUUCUAGAACACAUGAUGGGCCAGGUUCCAUCCCCAGGAGCUGCACACAAGCAGGUGGAGGUGGAACCAGGAGAAUGGAGCUGGGAAGGCAACCGGAGUACAUCCUGGGCUGCCUGAGAGUCCAUCUCAAAGUAAAAGGUCAAAGAAACCCCUGCUGGCCUCCCGCCAGCCUCUCCUAAUCCUGUCCAAGACCCCGCUGUGUCUCACCAGCUCUCUGUGCCUGUUCUGUCUUUGCUCCAUUCAUUCCCAGUGAGAGUGAAGGAUGCUGGCCAGGACCCCAAACACCUACACAGUUCUCCAGUUCCUAGAAGGGGGAGGCGUGUCCCACAAGGCUGGGCAGUAAUGAGAUGGAAGAUUUGGACUAAUCCUGACCCAAAUGAGGGCCUAAUUCCUGCUGUAACCAUCUGUCAGCUGCCAGUUAACAGUUCCUACAGCCCGAGCUGGGGGGGCUGGGGAGGGGGCCUCUGCUCCGCAGAAGCUGCUGGGCUCAUACCUAGGGUGUUGUUUUUCUCCCUCUUCCUUGUUUUUUUUUUCUGUUUUUGGAAUGUGAAUAUAAACUUUAUAGAGGGGCCUGGUCUCUGUUCACACCGGGUGCUAAUAACCCACAGCUGAAAACAGAGGUGCAGAGGAAAAUGGGGAGCUGUGGGGCCCAGAAGGCUGCAGUUCCAGAAAUGGGGGGCACUGAGGAAGGGGGACCAGGAGAAUAUUUAAUAUUGAAUUUGCUUCUCUCUCUCUCUUUCUCUCUCUCUCUCUCUCUCUCUCUCUCUCUUAAUGUGGAAAGUUUUAGACACAAACCAGCCCCUGUGUUUAAGUCAUUAAACCAUCUUUAAG
Long non-coding RNA from Mus musculus (house mouse), 1829 nucleotides. RefSeq annotates it as RIKEN cDNA A730006G06 gene. Lineage: Eukaryota; Metazoa; Chordata; Mammalia; Rodentia; Muridae. The record is from RefSeq and is marked validated. The transcript is spliced from 3 exons.